This 253-nucleotide ribosomal RNA is filed under the name uncultured bacterium. RNAcentral describes it as "partial 16S ribosomal RNA". It matches the Rfam family "Bacterial small subunit ribosomal RNA", at positions 524 to 776 of the family's 1533-position model. The record is from RNAcentral.
UACGUAGGUGGCAAGCGUUGUCCGGAAUUAUUGGGCGUAAAGCGCGCGCAGGCGGUUUCUUACGUCUGAUGUGAAAGCCCCCGGCUCAACCGGGGAGGGUCAUUGGAAACUGGGAAACUUGAGUGCAGAAGAGGAAAGUGGAAUUCCAAGUGUAGCGGUGAAAUGCGUAGAGAUUUGGAGGAACACCAGUGGCGAAGGCGACUUUCUGGUCUGUAACUGACGCUGAGGCGCGAAAGCGUGGGGAGCAAACAGG